RNAcentral lists this ribosomal RNA (420 nucleotides) under Fusobacteriota bacterium. RNAcentral describes it as "Fusobacteria bacterium partial 16S ribosomal RNA". It matches the Rfam family "Bacterial small subunit ribosomal RNA", at positions 355 to 776 of the family's 1533-position model. Lineage: Bacteria; Fusobacteriati; Fusobacteriota. The record is from RNAcentral.
UGGGGGAUAUUGCACAAUGGGCGAAAGCCUGAUGCAGCGACGCCGUGUGGGGGAUGAAGGCCUUCGGGUUGUAAACUUCUUUUGCUCUGAACAAGGCAUGCCUUUGGGGUGUGUUGAGUGUAGGGGUUGAUUAGCGCCGGCUAACUACGUGCCAGCAGCCGCGGUAAUACGUAGGGCGCGAGCGUUGUCCGGAAUUAUUGGGCGUAAAGGGCUUGUAGGUGGCUGGUUGCGUCUGUCGUGAAAGCUCAUGGCUUAACUGUGGGUUUGCGGUGGGUACGGGCUGGCUUGAGUGCAGUAGGGGAGGCUGGAAUUCCUGGUGUAGCGGUGGAAUGCGCAGAUAUCAGGAGGAAUACCGGUUGCGAAGGCGGGUCUCUGGGCUGUUACUGACGCUGAGGAGCGAAAGCGUGGGGAGCGAACAGG